GUUGGCUUAGAAGCAGCCACUCAUUUAAAGAGUGCGUAAUAGCUCACUAGUCGAGAGAUCCUGCGCCGAAAAUGUCCGGGGCUCAAACUUACCACCGAAGCUACGGGCUUGCGUAAGCAAGCGGUAGGGGAGCGUCGUAAUCGGGCUGAAGUCGUACCGUAAGGAGCGGUGGACUGAUUACGAGUGAGAAUGUUGGCAUUAGUAGCGAGAUGUAGGUGAGAAUCCUACAGGCCGAAUAUCUAAGGUUUCCUCAGGAAGGCUCGUCCGCUGAGGGUUAGUCGGGACCUAAGCCGAGGCCGAAAGGCGUAGGCGAUGGACAAUCGGUUGAUAUUCCGAUACCACUACCAUCGUUAAUAUCGAGGGUGUGACGGAGAAGGAUAGUGUGUGCUAGCGAUUGGAAAUGCUAGUCUAAGCGUUUAGGGAGUUACGGUAGGCAAAUCCGCUGUAACAAUUCUGAGGCGUGAUGGGGAAGGCCAUAUAGGCCGAAGUACAUGAUUCCAUGCUUCCAAGAAAAGCAUCUAGAGAGAGAAGUAGUGCCCGUACCGCAAACCGACACAGGUAGAUGAGGAGAGAAUCCUAAGGCCGGCGGAAGAAUUGCAGUUAAGGAACUAGGCAAAUUGACCCCGUAAGUUCGCGAGAAGGGGUGCCUGCGAGAGCAGGCCGCAGAGAAUAGGCCCAAGCAACUGUUUAGCAAAAACACAGGUCUCUGCUAAAGCGUAAGCUGAUGUAUAGGGGCUGACGCCUGCCCGGUGCUGGAAGGUUAAGGGGAACACUUAGCGCAAGCGAAGGUGUGAACUUAAGCCCCAGUAAACGGCGGCCGUAACUAUAACGGUCCUAAGGUAGCGAAAUUCCUUGUCAGGUAAGUUCUGACCCGCACGAAUGGCGUAAUGACUUGGGCACUGUCUCAACUGCAAAUCCGGCGAAGUUGUAGUGCGAGUGAAGAUGCUCGCUACCCGCGAUUGGACGGAAAGACCCCGUAGAGCUUUACUGUAGCUUAGCAUUGAAUUCCGGUAUUGUCUGUACAGGAUAGGUGGGAGACUGGGAAACUAGGGCGUCAGCCUUAGUGGAGUCAACCUUGGGAUACCACCCUGACAGUACUGGGGUUCUAACAGGACGCCAUGAAUCUGGUGACUGGACAUUGUUAGGUGGGCAGUUUGACUGGGGCGGUCGCCUCCUAAAAAGUAACGGAGGCGCCCAAAGGUUCCCUCAGAACGGUCGGAAAUCGUUCGUAGAGUGCAAAGGCAGAAGGGAGCCUGACUGCGAGACAUACAAGUCGAGCAGGGACGAAAGUCGGGCUUAGUGAUCCGGUGGUACCUCGUGGGAGGGCCAUCGCUCAACGGAUAAAAGCUACCUCGGGGAUAACAGGCUGAUCUCCCCCAAGAGUCCACAUCGACGGGGAGGUUUGGCAC
RNAcentral lists this ribosomal RNA (1409 nucleotides) under human gut metagenome. Its description in RNAcentral is "bacterial LSU rRNA". It matches the Rfam family "Bacterial large subunit ribosomal RNA", at positions 1100 to 2524 of the family's 2925-position model. The record is from RNAcentral.